GAUGAACGCUGGCGGCGUGCCUAAUACAUGCAAGUCGAGCGAACAGACGAGGAGCUUGCUUCUCUGAUGUUAGCGGCGGACGGGUGAGUAACACGUUGAUAACCUACCUAUAAGACUGGGAUAACUUCGGGAAACCGGAGCUAAUACCGUAUAAUAUUUUUAACCGCAUGGUUCAAUAGUGAAAGACGGUUUUGCUGUCACUUAUAGAUGGAUCCGCGCUGCAUUAGCUAGUUGGUAAGGUAACGGCUUACCAAGGCAACGAUGCGUAGCCGACCUGAGAGGGUGAUCGGCCACACUGGAACUGAGACACGGUCCAGACUCCUACGGGAGGCAGCAGUAGGGAAUCUUCCGCAAAGGGCGAAAGCCUGACGGAGCAACGCCGCGUGAGUGAUGAAGGUCUUCGGAUCGUAAAACUCUGUUAUUAGGGAAGAACAAAUGUGUAAGUAACUAUGCACAUCUUGACGGUACCUAAUCAGAAAGCCACGGCUAACUACGUG
This 497-nucleotide ribosomal RNA is filed under the name uncultured bacterium. RNAcentral describes it as "partial 16S ribosomal RNA". It matches the Rfam family "Bacterial small subunit ribosomal RNA", at positions 28 to 507 of the family's 1533-position model. The record is from RNAcentral.